RNAcentral lists this ribosomal RNA (2556 nucleotides) under Triticum aestivum (bread wheat). Its description in RNAcentral is "partial small subunit ribosomal RNA". Lineage: Eukaryota; Viridiplantae; Streptophyta; Magnoliopsida; Poales; Poaceae. The record is from RNAcentral.
AUGCAAAUGGGGGCCCAACCAACACGCCACAGUAGCCUAGAUGAGAUCGAAGACCUGUCACAACUUCAGCCUAAUGCAAAUGGAAAUAGCCAAGGCGAGGAUCCUCAGCCUCCCGAGACGGAGAGCUAUGAGCUCAUGCGGGACCUCAGCAAGUACAUCCUGCUGCUGGCAACGCUGGUGGCCACGGUGACAUACGCCGCGGGGUUCAACCCGCCGGGGGGCGUCUGGCAGGAGACCGUCGCCGCCUCGGACCAACUCGCCGGCGACUCCAUUAUCCGGACCACCAGCUACGGCCGGUACCUGGUCUUCUUCUACUGCAACGCCACCGCGUUUGCCUCGUCGCUCGUGAUCAUCGUCCUCGUCCUCUUCCUCACGCUCCUAAAGAAGCAGCUGCUCCAACUCAAGCCGCUGCAGGCAGUCAUGGUGGUGGACCUGCUGAGCGUCAUGGGGGCCUACGCCGCCGGGACCUGCCGGGACAAGACCACCACCAUCUACUCCUCGGUGCUGGUGGUUGUCGUCAUCGCCUACCUCACUUACCAGAUGGUGAUGGCCUGGCGGUUGCCAGAUAAUGAGAACAGGAACAACGACGCACGGGCAGCAGUGGACAAGAAACGGCUCCGAAAGGUCCUGAUGCUGCUCGCGACGUUCGCGGUGAGCGUGACGUACGUCGCCGGGAUGAGCACGCCGGGCGGCUUCUGGGACAACACCGAGAACGGUCACCGGCCAGGCGACGCCAUCCUCAAGGACAGCCACGACAAGCGCCUGACGGUGUUCUUGUGCUUCAACACCAUGGCAUUCGUCGCAUCGCUGCUCAUCAUCGUGGUGCUUCUGGACAGGAAGCCCCGGGAGAAUGAGGCCUACGGGUGCAUCGCCGUUGCGCUGAUCAGCCUCGUCGGGGCAUACACCGCCGGCAGCUGCAGGGAGACCGACACCACCAUCUAUGUCUCCAGCCUGGUUGGUGCCGUCCUGAUAUUCAUGGCAUUGCUCCAGGGUGUUGUUUAUUUGAAAGGAGAUGUGGCUGCUGCUGCUGGAGGUGCCGAACAAGACAGAAGAACAUCCUGCUUCAGGACCACGCUGACAAAUGUCCAGGCUAAGAUUGCAGGAUGGUUGCAAAGUCCGGCGGAGACUGGUCAGGGCAGGGACGCAGCGCAGCAGGCUCGCUCCCUUGUUCUAUUGCUAGCCACUCUUGCUGCAACCAUCACCUACCAAGCCGGCCUGGACCCUCCCGGCGGCGUCUGGCCGGAUAACAAGAACGGCCACAUGGCCGGUGACCCGAUCCUCCUCACUGUGAAUGCUGGGCGGUACAAGGCCUUCUACUACUGCAACUCCGUCGCCUUUGUAGCCUCCUUGGUGGCCAUCAUCCUGGUCCAAAGCAAGGUUAUGCUCGAGACCCACGUGCUCGAGGCAGCCAUGGUACUGGACUUGUUUGGCCUCAUCGGAGCAUAUGCCGCAGGAAGUUCUCGGGACUUGAGCACCUCCAUUUACGCCAUGGCCUUGGCGGGCGCUGUCCUAGUCUAUGUAGUGAUCCAUGUUGUCUUCUUCACACUGAACCACGGCGACCCCACCCCAGAGGAAAUUAAGUCUGUGGACAAGAGGCGCAAGCGGUUGCUCCUUUUUGCAGUAUUGGCAGCGACCAUCACUUACCAGGCUGGGCUGACACCUCCGGGCGGCGUCCGGCUCCAGGAUGAUGGGUCUAGCGGGCACCAGGCAGGGGACCCGGUCCUCUUCUACAACUUUCCCCGCCGCUACACAGCCUUUUUCUACUGCAAUUCGGUGAGCUUCAUGCUGUCCAUUGCCCUCAUCAUAUUGCUCGUGAACCCCCAUUUAUACAGGCCAGCCAUACGAAGCUAUGCACUUGCUGUUUGCACGGGGGCAGGCAUGUUUGGUCUGAUGGGGGCAUAUGCUGCCGGAAGCACCCAGCAUCUGAAAACAUCCAUCUACAUCUUUGUCUUGGGGGCUGUGGUCCUCUUCGUCAUAGCUGUACUGCUACUAGUGUUCUUGGAUAACAGAAAUGCAAACGUGACCAGUCAACCGAGGCCAGAGAAUGAUGAUGACGAAGAACGAAAGACAAAACAAGCCAAGCGCAAAUACCUGAUGCUGCUAGGAAUCCUUGUGGCGAGUGUCACCUACCAGGCCGGCCUAGAUCCGCCUGGCGGAGCUUGGCAGCACAGUGGGAGUGGGUACGAUGCAGGCAACCCGAUCAUGCAUGACAACCAGAGGCACCGUUACCUCGCCUUCUUCUACAGCAACUCCACGUCCUUCGUCGCAUCCAUUGUUGUUAUCAUCAUUUUGCUACUGGAGUGGAAGGACGGGAAGAGAUGGUCGCUCAAGGUCAUGAACACGACCAUUGUGCUGGAUUUGCUCGCUCUCCUAGUGGCCUACGCAGCAGGCUCCAGCAGGGGGUGGAAGACGUCUGUGUAUGUCGUCGCACUAGUUAUCGCCGUGCUGGCAUAUGUUGCAGUCCAUAUAGUGCUGGCAAUCUCAUGUUGUCAUAGCCCGCGGGAAGAGAACAGUGUGGAUCCUGCACGGGUAGCUCCAGCGGCACCCAUUGUUUGA